Molecule: transfer RNA, 72 nt
Filed under: Pangasianodon hypophthalmus (striped catfish)
Lineage: Eukaryota; Metazoa; Chordata; Actinopteri; Siluriformes; Pangasiidae
Description: tRNA-Glu
Source: RNAcentral
UCGUUAGAGGACUAGUUGUUAGGCCUCGGCACGCUCACUGCUGUGGCCCGGGUUCGAUUCCCAGCCACUGGG